Long non-coding RNA from Apis mellifera (honey bee), 1377 nucleotides. RefSeq lists it as uncharacterized. The transcript has 5 exons. The record is from RefSeq and is a predicted model, not a curated record. Lineage: Eukaryota; Metazoa; Arthropoda; Insecta; Hymenoptera; Apidae.
AAUUUAAAUUGAAAUAGUGGCAGAUAUUAAAUGCAAUCCUUAUCCAUGUUUGAGGUUAAACUACCGCUUAAGCUUAAACUUUUGAGAAGUCUCGUUAAAACUUCUCAUAAGUGCAUAAUUGCAUAACAACUUAGUCAUUUUGAAAAUCGAUUCUCAACUCUAUGAAAAGGCUGUUCUGUUUUUCCCAUUCGAAAAUCAUAAAUUGAAUUGAGCCUUUCUCAACAUCAAGUUAUUUAUUCUGGUGAUUAUUUUUGCAUAGUGAUGAAAUCAUCAAAGAAACCGAGAUAAAUCAAGUUUUCUUGCAAGAUAUUUCAACUAGAUUUUUUUACUUUUCAAAAACAAGAGAAUAAGUUUUAAGUGAAUGGAUUCGAAUGAAAAAUAGCGAAUAUGUACACAGAAAGAUCGUUAAGAAAAAGUUACAUCUUAUUAAGAAUGAUACCUGGACAGAUAUUCGCGAGGGCACAUAUCGAAUAAAUAUCACAUCACUUGACGAUCAAUUCCCUGCAAUGAACGUAACAAUUUAGAAUGAAACAUCGGACCAAGCGUAUGUUUCCUCGCUUUUCCUAAUAUUCGUUCGCUAAUUAGUGCAAUAUCACACGCUUAUUGUUCACAAGAGAGGCUCUAUUGCGAAUCCAUCACGACUAUUGGGCCUUGACCUGAAUAAAUGCUUAAUGAUCGUUGCCAGAAUUUAAGAUCCUUUUGUGAUUUUAUGUGUGCGCAAUCUUAAUGGAUGUGUACGCAAAUUGUGGUUUCUAAUUAUGGCUUGUUAAAAAGUUUUCUUUCUCUUGUAAUUUGGCAACUGAGUGGAACAAUGUGUCAAGUAACACUGGUAGUAUUAAUUAUUUUAUAUAUAUAUAAAAUGUUGAAAUAUUCGUGGACAUCUUUGAAGAGUGGAGUUUUUUCUUUUUAGAAUAGAAAGUUUAAUUAAAGGAAAUGUAAAAAAUUAGUACAUAAAAAUAUCAGUUGAGAUUUAUUUGUUAAAUUAUAAAUAAUUUAAGUUUGCAUUAAGGUUGUAAUAAAAUAAGAAUUUUACAAAAGUAAGAAUCUCCACUAAGAAUAUGCUCAUUCGAAUACAUAUCUACGGAGAAUAUUAAACGUGGUUCAAUGACCACUAUGAUUUCAGAAUUUGCAGAAUCAUAGAAGUUAAAUUGAAAUUUAUGCAACACUGGUUGCAUAGUAUUAGAAGGAUGGAACUGAAUAUAUCGAUCUAAUAAUUUCUGCGUGGGCAGACUGUACGUGUUGAAUAUCAAACGAGAAAUUAUAAUUUUGCCAAAUGCCCUACAAUUUCGAUUCUAUUCAUUUUGGGUUCUUCGACCUUGAAAAUUGAAGAAAUGAAUGCAUUGUUAUUAAUUGCAACAAAAUUUUGAAUUAUUCUAA